RNAcentral lists this ribosomal RNA (484 nucleotides) under uncultured bacterium. Its description in RNAcentral is "partial 16S ribosomal RNA". It matches the Rfam family "Bacterial small subunit ribosomal RNA", at positions 28 to 523 of the family's 1533-position model. The record is from RNAcentral.
GAUGAACGCUGGCGGCGUGCUUAACACAUGCAAGUCGAACGGGAGAAGAUCGGUGCUUGCACUGAUCCGAUCGAGUGGCGGACGGGUGAGUAACGCGUGGGUAACCUGCCUCAUACAGGGGAAUAACAGUUGGAAACGGCUGCUAAAACCGCAUAAGCGCACAGUAUCGCAUGAUACAGUGUGAUAAACUCCGGUGGUAUGAGAUGGACCCGCGUCUGAUUAGCUAGUUGGUGAGGUAACGGCCCACCAAGGCAACGAUCAGUAGCCGGCCUGAGAGGGUGAACGGCCACAUUGGGACUGAGACACGGCCCAAACUCCUACGGGAGGCAGCAGUGGGGAAUAUUGCACAAUGGGGGAAACCCUGAUGCAGCGACGCCGCGUGAGUGAUGAAGUAUUUCGGUAUGUAAAGCUCUAUCAGCAGGGAAGAUAAUGACGGUACCUGACUAAGAAGCACCGGCUAAAUACGUGCCAGCCGCCGCGGUAA